CCCUAACCCUGAUGGCAGCGGCAUCUCCCGAUUUAGGAAAACAAGGCUUUUUUAGCCGUAGUUUUUUUAAAUUAGGAAUACAGCGAACAGCAGGAAAUUGC
Molecule: small RNA, 101 nt
Filed under: Flavobacterium glaciei
Lineage: Bacteria; Pseudomonadati; Bacteroidota; Flavobacteriia; Flavobacteriales; Flavobacteriaceae
Description: Flavo-1 RNA
Rfam family: Flavo-1 RNA
Source: RNAcentral